This 497-nucleotide ribosomal RNA is filed under the name uncultured bacterium. RNAcentral describes it as "partial 16S ribosomal RNA". It matches the Rfam family "Bacterial small subunit ribosomal RNA", at positions 28 to 507 of the family's 1533-position model. The record is from RNAcentral.
GAUGAACGCUGGCGGCGUGCCUAAUACAUGCCAGUCGAGCGAACACACGAGGAGCUUUUUCUUCUAACGUUAGCGGCGGACGGGUGAGUAACACGUGCAUAACCUUCUACUAUGUCUGGGAUAACUUCGGGAGACCGGUUAUAAUACUAGAUCAUAUAUUGUACCGCAUGGAUCAAUAGUGAAAGACGGCUUUGCUGUCUCAUAUAGAUGGAUCCGCGUCGCAUUAGCUAGUUGGUAAGGUAACGGCUUACCAAGGCAACGAUGCGUAGCCGACCUGAGAGGGUGAUCAGCCACACUGGAACUGAGACACGGUCCAGACUCCUACGGGAGGCAGCAGUAGGGAAUCUUCCACAAUGGGCGAAAGCCUGACGGAGCAACGCCGCGUGAGUGAUGAAGGUCUUCGGAUCGUAAAACUCUGUUAUUAGGGAAGAACAAAUGUAUAAGAAACUAUGCACGUCUUGACGGUACCUAAACAGUAAGCCACGGCUAACUACGUG